UCCUUGAGCCACAGGUGCCGCCCAUCCUUCUGCAAUCUUCACGUUAUUUCAGAUCCGCCCACUCCUGAUAGAGGGUGUUGAAGCCUCCAACUGUGAUAGUGAAUUCAUCUGUUCCUCCUGAAGGCUCUGAAGGAGUGUGUUCGAGUGGGGAGACCAUCCAGGAGGCAGGGGACCAAAAAUGUUUCCUGGGCUCCUGCCACAUGUAUCAGGAGAGCCGCAGGGGACAGAUCACUUACUGGCAUUUCUGCUCUUCUGAGAUGAGAGCAUCUGCUGGGCGACUGUCACCACCACUGCCACUGCUCUUAGUACCGUCCCUACCAUGUCCCUAUCAUUACUACCACUACUAACCCUAUGUCUACCACUAUGACUACUAUGAAUAUUAUUACUGCCACCACUAUUACUAAUGAAAGAACCAGACCAGCGCCAUCUUAAGGAGUUACGUUUCACCCCCCAACCCCCGCCCUCUAGUUUCACCUUCCAGGCAAGCCCGGGCAUCAUGAGACAACUGACCAAUCCAGAAGUGCCCCCUUUGUUUCAAGCUGU
Long non-coding RNA from Nycticebus coucang (slow loris), 543 nucleotides. RefSeq lists it as uncharacterized. NCBI's taxonomy places the organism in Eukaryota, Metazoa, Chordata, Mammalia, Primates, Lorisidae. The transcript has 3 exons. The record is from RefSeq and is a predicted model, not a curated record.